UGGCACCGUUCGUAACCUGUUAGCAGCGCCCUCCUGCUGAUGGGUUCCAUUCCGGUGCUACAUGAAACCCUGAGAUAAAAAAUGACUGGUUGGUUCUCUGCCUGUCCACGUUAUUUCGGGGGACAUCA
Molecule: small nucleolar RNA, 128 nt
Organism: Cyanoderma ruficeps (rufous-capped babbler)
Lineage: Eukaryota; Metazoa; Chordata; Aves; Passeriformes; Timaliidae
Source: Ensembl